Molecule: ribosomal RNA, 837 nt
Filed under: uncultured archaeon SAGMA-9
Lineage: Archaea
Description: bacterial SSU rRNA
Rfam family: Archaeal small subunit ribosomal RNA
Source: RNAcentral
CCGGACCUGACUGCUAUCGGAUUGAUACUAAGCCAUGUGAGUCAUUGUAGCAAUACAAGGCAGACGGCUCAGUAACACGUAGCCAACCUACCCUAUGGACGGGGAUAACCUCGGGAAACUGAGGAUAAACCCCGAUAGAUCAUUAUACCUGGAACGGUUUAUGGUCCAAAUGAUUCGUCGCCGUAGGAUGGGACUGCGGCCUAUCAGCUUGUUGGUGAGGUAAUGGCCCACCAAGGCUAUUACAGGUACGGGCUCUGAGAGGAGAAGCCCGGAGAUGGGUACUGAGACACGGACCCAGGCCCUAUGGGGCGCAGCAGGCGAGAAAACUUUGCAAUGUGCGCAAGCACGACAAGGUUAAUCCGAGUGUUUCCUGCUAAAGGAAACUUUUGCUAGUCCUAAAAACACUAGCGGAUAAGGGGUGGGCAAGUUCUGGUGUCAGCCGCCGCGGUAAAACCAGCACCUCAAGUGGUCAGGAGGAUUAUUGGGCCUAAAGCAUCCGUAGCCUGCUUUGUAAGUUUCCGGUUAAAUCCAUUAGCUCAACUGAUGGGCCGCCGGAAAAACUGCAAAGCUAGGGAGUGGGAGAGGUAGACGGUACUCGGUAGGAAGGGGUAAAAUCCUUUGAUCUAUCGAUGACCACCGGUGGCGAAGGCGGUCUACCAGAACACGUUCGACGGUGAGGGAUGAAAGCUGGGGGAGCAAACCGGAUUAGAUACCCGGGUAGUCCCAGCUGUAAACGAUGCAGACUCGGUGAUGCCCUGGCUUGUGGCCAGUGCAGUGCCGCAGGGAAGCCGUUAAGUUUGCCGCCUGGGAAGUACGUACGCGAAGUAUGAAACUUAA